RNAcentral lists this ribosomal RNA (445 nucleotides) under Synergistales bacterium canine oral taxon 179. RNAcentral's name for it is "bacterial SSU rRNA". It matches the Rfam family "Bacterial small subunit ribosomal RNA", at positions 9 to 456 of the family's 1533-position model. Lineage: Bacteria; Thermotogati; Synergistota; Synergistia; Synergistales. The record is from RNAcentral.
GAGUUUGAUUAUGGCUCAGGAUGAACGCUGGCGGCGUGCGUAACACAUGCAAGUUGGACGACGGUGCCAUGAAGUGGUAACACGGAGUGGUAUACGGAGUAGCGGACGGGUGAGUACAACAUGAGAAGCUGUCCUUCAGCGGGGGAUAACGUCUGGAAGCGGACGCUAAUACCCCAUAGGCCGAGAGGUUAAAGCAGCAAUGCGCUGGAGGAGGUGCUCGUGCCCUAUCAGCUAGUUGGUGAGGUAAUGGCUCACCAAGGCGACGACGGGUAGCCGGCCUGAGAGGGUGAACGGCCACACUGGAACUGAGAUACGGUCCAGACUCUCUAUCGGGAGGCAGCAGUGGGGAAUAUUGGGCAAUGGGAGGAAUCCUGACCCAGCGACGCCGCGUGAACGAUGACGGCCUUCGGGUUGUAGAGUUCUUUUAUGUGGAAGAAGGAAGUGA